UUAGGUAAGCUAUUGUGAAUUCAUGCAAAUAAGUGUGAAGUCAUAAAUAUAGCUGAGAAGAGGGAACAAUAAUCAGCACAAACUCCAAAAAUUAGGGACCAGAAGUUAUGUCCAGAUGGAAAUAUCCAGAGCAAACAAGAACAAAUAAAAAAGUGAUCUCUUAGGAAACAAGGAUUGCUGAUCCAUACAACACCUUUGGAGUCCGCAGUUCCAGGAGUUCUGGAAGAAGUAAAGUGGGAAGGACCUUACCAAAUGUUACAGAUGACUGAGACUGAAGCCCAGAGGCUGAGAACACCAGGUUUAAAGGACCUUGGAGGAACCUGAAGAAUGGAUUGUUAAAGACAAUUUAUAUCCUCUAAAAUUUGCUUUGCAAUUAGGAAUGUUUUUGUGGGAGGGGAGAUUGUGCUUAGAGGAAUUUUAACAAUAUUGAUGUUGCACCUAGUAUUUAUAUUUCCAGAAAAGUUUAUAGAAACUCCUUGAUUGGAGAAAGUUGAAUUAACAUUUUUUUAGGCUGAAGAAAUCAUUAAUGUUAAUUCUGAUAAGGUUCUUUAAUGUGAAAUUAAUAUAUUCUAUAUUCUAUAUGAGUUUUAAUUGGUUGUAUUGAGUCAUUUUAAAGCUGUUCCCAUUGUUUAGGGAGAUUCUGAGAGCAGUGGUCUAUGUCAUUGUCCCUUUGAACAUGGUUAAUACCUAAACAUGUUUUGGUAUCAAUUUGUUAUUGAACAUCUUAAAGUAAAAUUAUUUGUGUAAUAUUAAAUUUAAAAUCUAUUUAGAUAUGAAAAUAAGCUGUGAACUUUUUAGGAUGGAUCUCUUAUAGUUAUCAAUGUAAGUAGGUAUAGUCAAUACUUAUUUAGAGCAUGUGAUCCUUCCUUGAGAGCUAAUUCACCUGAAGCUUUGAUUAAGAAGAUUUCAUAUUUGACAUAAAAUCUCUUGGUACUGUAACUGAUUUUUUAUUUCAGAUAUGAUUGUUUGAUGGAUCAUCAAGCCAGUAAUACACCAUCUGAAAAGAAUAUGCCACAAGUCACUCAGAUGAAUGUGAUGCUGAAUUGUUACAGAUUCACAGUUCAAAUGAGAAUCAUGGAUAUGAUGCUAAAAAGAAGAUUAAAGAAUCAUCUAAUCAGUCUUAAUUUUUGAGGAACUAUGGAGAAUUCAUUUGGACACAAGUGAGAAGAAUCCAUACCAAGGCCUUACAUGUAGGAGACUCAAAUCCCAUCUUGGGAUCUAUAGAGAAACUUCUUGUUAAGAUGACCACAUGAAUAGUUGCUGAGGAGCCUCUCUCUCUUAGAAUUAUUCCAGCAAAAAUCUAAAAAGAGCAGAAGACCAAAAAAUGAUCAAGAAGUUUAAAAAGAAGCUAGUGCUUUCACCAGCCAAGGAAUGCCCCCCAAAACUGUCUUUAGGAGGGCUAAACAGAACCAGAUCCAGAAGCAUAGCAGGUCAAAAUUCUGAUAUUGCAGUCUUAGUGAGUGAGGUGAGAUUUAAUUUUUAAAUAAAGAGAAAAAUGAGAGACAAAGAAAGACAGAGACAAGAUAGUCAAAUAGACAGAGAGGGAUACAGACAUAGAGACAGAGACAGAGAAAGAAGGAAAGAGAGAGACACACAGAGAGAAGAGAUAGGAGACAGAGAGAGAUAAAGGCAGAGAGAAAGAGACAGAGAGAGACAGAUAGAGUGCACAUGAUACAGAAAAACUAGCAAAUAUGUAGCUUUAAAAAAUACCAUCUGUAGGUACUGAUUUUUCCCAAAGCCUGAGACAUGCCAUUGUAAUGGCACCUGAAGAUUGUAGUAUUCCACCAAGCUAAAUCAAGUCAAUAAGCAUCUAUUAAGCACUUAGUAUGCACAGACAGGAGUGUCCAGAGUGGCCAAAUUUCCCAAACUUGAGAGUUCCACUAGCCUCAGAUCCUCUAUCAUCUGGGGUUGUAGAUAUGUGAAUGAAUCAAUAACAUCAUAACAAUCAUAACCAUGAGAUGAAAUAAUUUUCAAAAAGGAACAGACUAGCAAAGUGCAUUAAAAAACAGAAUCCAAUAAUAUAUUGAACUUAAGAACACACUUGACAAAAAGUAAAAUUAAAUACAUUUUGCUUUGUUAAAAUAUGUUUUGAGUAAAGUUGAAAAAGCAGAGGUGACAAUCAUUACCUGCUUAAUCUGAAUUAGGCACCAAUAAAAAGAGACAUGAUCAAAAGGGAUAAACAGAGAGAUUUACCUAUGCUUAAAAGGACUAGAGAUAAAAAAUAAUAUCAGUUUAAAAUAUAUGCCUCAAGUGAAAUAGCAUUUAAAUAACUAAAGAAAUAAUUACUCAUAUUACAGAGAGAAAUAGAAAGAUAAAUUGUGAGAGCUAAGGACUUGAAAACACACCUUUCAGAGUAAGACCAAAAUCUAACAAAAAAGAAGAAAAAAAUAAUAAACAUCUGAAUAGAUUAUUAGAAAAGUUAGAUAUGAUAGUUUUUUGGGGGGCUACUGAGUGAGAAUUGAAAGAAAUAUACAUAUUUUAGGUGUGCAUAAUGUGACAAAAAUUAGCCAUUUACUAGAACAUCAAAACAGAAGUAAAUGCAGAAAAACCAGAAUA
This is a long non-coding RNA of Sarcophilus harrisii (Tasmanian devil), 2556 nucleotides long. RefSeq lists it as uncharacterized. The record is from RefSeq and is a predicted model, not a curated record. The transcript has 5 exons. Lineage: Eukaryota; Metazoa; Chordata; Mammalia; Dasyuromorphia; Dasyuridae.